Molecule: long non-coding RNA, 754 nt
Organism: Gorilla gorilla gorilla (western lowland gorilla)
Lineage: Eukaryota; Metazoa; Chordata; Mammalia; Primates; Hominidae
Exons: 3
Source: RefSeq, a predicted model, not a curated record
GGGCACAUGAGCCUCAGGCAGACCUCAGGUGCCGGGCCUGAGCUGGCCUCUCCUGCUGUUGCUACUGCUGCUGCUUGAGCUGCUGGCCUCAGGAGUGCAGGAAACAUGGGGUCACUGGGGAACUGAGAACAGCCACACUGGCAUAGUUGACACCUUUUGCUGGAGCAUCCAUAGCCUGUUGUGAAAAGGCAAUAUCUGCUGCUCAAAAGAUCUUGACCUGGCUCACCAAGAGGUUUGUGUUGGGAGUACAUAUGUUUCUACAGACAUUGUGGAGAGUCUAGUAAGAGCUUUUGGAUGUUCUUGGACUUGACAUCUCCAACCUGUCCCAGCAUUUCAACCCAGCCUUAGUGGCCAGUAGCCUAGCCUAGGCCCUUCUUUUGGUCAGUGCCAGCUGCUUGGCCUACUGAUUCUAGUUUCUGACCCUGGACAUAACCUUCAAAGCACUGCAUCUGGUGUUCAGCACUUCUUCUGGAUCGUGUGGACCAUCCUGUUCUCCAGGUCCUGCAAGCACAUUCUGCACAAGGAUAAGGCAUUCUAAAAGCUAAGCCUUGGAAUUCUGUUGAAAAUCACUCAGCCAUAAAAUAAAAGACACCUGAGAAGAUUCCUAAACUCACUCUGGGAAAGAGAAAGGUCACAGAGCCACAGAGGCUGGACCUCUAGCAGCAGAGGACACAGAAGAAUGAAGACGAGACGCGGAGCUCCAACUGCAGCCAGAGACAAAGGCCCCGCCACAUCCCGGAAGCCGCCCUGUCCU